CUUCCUUUUGUGGAGUCUGAGAAUGGAUCUAGAAGCUUAACAUUAGGUGGAGAAAUUUAUAAUAUAUUCUAUAGGUGCAGUGUUUUGCAAUUUGAGAUGAAAUUAUAGUGCAAGCAAUGCACUGUAUUAAUUUAAAACUAGUUAACAAUUAAUUUUAAACAAUUUUAAAACAAUUAUACGAACACACAGACAACAGCUAUAGCAUUCAUAUAGAUGCAAAAGCAUUUCCCUCAGUGCAGCUGUUACCCUUUUAAAAGAAGGAAGAAUCCAAGCAUAUGAAAGAUGUGGGGGAUUUAGUGUCAUUUCUAAUGGUAUUGUCAGUGUUUCUCUUCUUGAGUCCUUAGAAAGAAAAUCCAUCAAACGAUAAAGAAGAUGGAAGAGUUGAGUCUAAACAAUUUCAGGUACCUUAAAACUAACAAGGAGGGUCCCUUAGCACCGCUGUCCAGGCUUUGGUGGCCCAGAGUUGGAAUUAGAACUGCAGAAUGUUACCCUAAAUAAGCUUGCUGCAGGACUUACACAAGCACAGUUAGACUUUUCUGAGAAAAGCUAUUCAUGUUAAAGUUUGUGUUAAAAUACUGAAAAGCAUUUUCCUUUUCCACAGAAGAAAUCUGUCUCCCUGACCUGCAGCAACAGCUAUUUCUAAUACUUGAUAAAUCAGAGUGGUGGUUCUGCCAGCCCAAAGUACAGCUUUGCAGGCCUCCGUCUUGCCUCCAGCUCAUCUCAAAUUUUCUUCUCAGGGCAUUGUUCAGACUACACCUAUUACCAGGAUCACCUGGUUCUGCAGAAAAUACAUACAGCAACAGGUUUUGUCAUAUUAUCCUGGUCGGUCUCCUGUUCCACCCUGGCCCUUCCUAGAACUGGGAGCAGGACUGGCUGGCCUGCAGCUUUCCAAGCAGAGUGCAGAGGCUGCAGAAGGACUUCAGUUGGCCUGAAGUGGUUCAGGAAGAGCUGAAAGCAAAUCUUCCCCAAGGCCCUGGUGUAAUCCACAGCAAGGUCAGAUUCCUCUGGAGUAACAAGGCUUUGCAAACUGUCAGUAGCAUGCAGACAGGCUUAGCUAACACAGUUUAGAGAAAUUGCUGGUAAGUGAAAAGGUAUCAUUCAUCAGUCUGAGGGAAUAAUCCUCAUAUAAGACUAUAAAUCAUUUGGUCUGUCAUUUUAUUGUGCCUGGGAUUAAGUUGUACAAAUUCUGGAAACACAGCAUCUCUGACUUCCUCUCUUCAACGAAACUACACAUGGUUUGCCCAAAAACUCCCGUGUUUGUCAUCAUAUGGGAGAGCCAACAUGGGGAUUUUUCCUACAAAAUGGAGUAAAACCCUGAGCCUGCUUAUCUUUGGAAUAACUGCCAGCAUGAUAGCAGAGUUUUGUAAUACUUUUGUGUGUUCCUAAGUCUUCUGCAGAGCCAUUCUUCUUAUCGGGGG
Melospiza melodia melodia is the source of this 1418-nucleotide long non-coding RNA. RefSeq lists it as uncharacterized. The transcript is spliced from 3 exons. The record is from RefSeq and is a predicted model, not a curated record. Lineage: Eukaryota; Metazoa; Chordata; Aves; Passeriformes; Passerellidae.